Molecule: long non-coding RNA, 878 nt
Organism: Labeo rohita (rohu)
Lineage: Eukaryota; Metazoa; Chordata; Actinopteri; Cypriniformes; Cyprinidae
Exons: 3
Source: RefSeq, a predicted model, not a curated record
GUGUUGUUGGCUGAAGUCACGGCGCAGUAGCUGGUUGAAAGGGACCAAACCUCUCUCAAUCACCUGACUUGGUUCCGUUUUACCAGCAACUAAGACGUGUAUCUGAGCACAGAUGGAUUUCCAGCUUCAGAUUUAUAAAGUCAGAUUGAUCUCAUCUACGACUCUGGAAGCUGAAGACGGUCGUCCACGUCAUGAUCUUCCUUCUGGACAAUGACACAGAGUCCCUGGAUGUGCCGCCAAAGCAGUAAAGAGAGACUCAACCAGCAGCCAGAAAGCCCUGCAACCCAACAGCAUUGACAUAUCAGAGCGUUUCAGCUCAGGCGUCCCACAUUACUUGCCCGUCCCUUGGCGUCGGGUCCCUCAGACGGGACAAAUACAGGUCCGACGCUGUCUUCCGUGCGUAUCCUCGUCCUUUGCCAUCUCCUGGAUUGUGUCCAGACCCGGCUUGGCUUCCCGGCCUUUUCUAUGGCUCGCCCUCCCCCUUGUUGGCGGCCUUCCACCUGUUGAUGUCUUUUAGAGGCCUGGGUCUCUCCUGGACCUCCUGUUCGCAGGCCUCAGCGCUCUGACAGACCAGCAGCCUGUGAAAUCACACCUCUCAGCUGUUCACACUGCGCUCCAGACAUCCAAUCUCAAUGGCUUCUUCAAAAAAGGAGGGGAUUCUGGGGGGCAGGGUGGGCCACAAGACAACUGCCACCCGCUUUUAUUGGGACAGCAUGACAGAAAAUGCUUUCUGGGGCACAGCUGACAAAGAACUUCAUGUUUUUGGUGUGUGUGCAGAAAUUUAGCUCAGCAAUGUUCAUGUUAAUAAUGCUUUUGGAGUGAAGUUCUUGGAGCAUUGCUUUGCCACUUUACUUACGUCACUUUUGCGUGGAAGCUUA